Long non-coding RNA from Mastomys coucha (southern multimammate mouse), 684 nucleotides. RefSeq lists it as uncharacterized. The transcript is spliced from 2 exons. The record is from RefSeq and is a predicted model, not a curated record. Lineage: Eukaryota; Metazoa; Chordata; Mammalia; Rodentia; Muridae.
UGUAGGAGCGUAUUGUGAGAUGAUGGGGCUGGUCCUAGGUCCCAGCUUCAGCCACCCCAAGCCCCCUUGAUCCGGGAGGCUGGCCCCCUAGAGAAGGAAGCAUGUUUCUUCUCCCGUGGCUCACCGAUUGUGACAUUUGUGAGGACACAUCAGGUGCUGUUCUCACUCGACGGGCCACCAUCUACUCCUAGGAUCAAUUAUUUGAAGUCUCAAGUUGGUCUAGACCUGGUCAGCAAGCCACAGUCCCUCUGGCUUUCAUUCUGGGCUUUGUUUCUUGGUACCACAAAGCACUCCUGCCGGUCUUCUGCAGUCCCACCUAUCUUCUGCAGUCCCCGCCCAUCUUCUGCGGUCCUCGCCCAUCUCUUGCAGUUCCCACCUAUCUUCUGCAGUUCCCGCCCAUCUUCUGCAGUUCCCGCCCAUCUUCUGCAGUCUCCGCCCAUCUUCUGCGGUCCCCGCCCAUCUUCUGCCAGUUGAGGCAGGAGUGUGUCUCAGAGAUUCUGGCUCCUGUCCGUGAGAGGAGUCACACAAAGGACACCAGAAACCAGUGUAACCUGCUAGUGCCCAAAACACUCAUCAGAAAAUGGGAGGAGAUGGGCUUAGGCCUCAACUCGGCGCCAGAGUGUUUGUUUAGCUCGCACAAGGCCCUGGGUUCAAACCCAGCACCACAAAAAUAAAGCGUGAGGA